CAGUCGCCGCGGGAAUACGUAGGGUGCAAGCGUUAAUCGGAAUUACUGGGCGUAAAGCGUGCGCAGGCGGUUUCGUAAGACAGAUGUGAAAUCCCCGGGCUUAACCUGGGAACUGCAUUUGUGACUGCGAGGCUAGAGUGUGUCAGAGGGGGGUGGGAUUCCACGUGUAGCAGUGAAAUGCGUAGAUAUGUGGAGGAACACCGAUGGCGGAGGCAGCCCCCUGGGAUAACACUGACGCUCAUGCACGAAAGCGUGGGGAGCAAACAGGAUUAGAUACCCGUGUAGUCCCUGUCUCUUAUAC
Molecule: ribosomal RNA, 301 nt
Filed under: uncultured bacterium
Lineage: Bacteria
Description: partial 16S ribosomal RNA
Rfam family: Bacterial small subunit ribosomal RNA
Source: RNAcentral